Molecule: ribosomal RNA, 454 nt
Filed under: uncultured bacterium
Lineage: Bacteria
Description: partial 16S ribosomal RNA
Rfam family: Bacterial small subunit ribosomal RNA
Source: RNAcentral
CUACGGGUCGCUCCAGUGGGGGAUAUUGCACAAUGGAGGAAACUCUGAUGCAGCGACGCCGCGUGAGUGAAGAAGUAUUUCGGUAUGUAAAGCUCUAUCAGCAGGGAAGAAAGUCCCGUAAGGGAGAUGACGGUACCUGACUAAGAAGCCCCGGCUAACUGACGUGCCAGCAGCCGCGGUAAUACGUAGGGGGCAAGCGUUAUCCGGAUUUACUGGGUGUAAAGGGAGCGCAGACGGUGAUGCAAGUCUGAAGUGAAAACCCACGGCUCAACCGUGGGCUUGCUUUGGAAACUGUAUGACUAGAGUGUCGGAGGGGUAAGCGGAAUUCCUGGUGUAGCGGUGAAAUGCGUAGAUAUCAGGAAGAACACCGGUGGCGAAGGCGGCUUACUGGACGACAACUGACGUUGGGGCUCGAAGGCGUGGGGAGCAAACAGGAUUAGAUACCCCCGUAGUC